AACACGCUGCUUUGUACGUUGUGAAUAAUUAAGUUUUAACCUUUAAGCUGUAAUAGGGAGUUUUAUAUCGAGGCAGGAAUGACAAGCCUUCGUCUACAUGACAGGGAGGACAUGCAGGAUCGUCUUUGCAAACACCCACUUUGAGGAGUGGUGGUUUAAAAC
Molecule: non-coding RNA, 162 nt
Filed under: Peribacillus deserti
Lineage: Bacteria; Bacillati; Bacillota; Bacilli; Caryophanales; Bacillaceae
Description: Bacillus deserti partial 6S RNA
Rfam family: 6S / SsrS RNA
About the family: E. coli 6S RNA was the first non coding RNA to be sequenced, but its function was unknown until recently. It consists of 184 nucleotides that fold into an extended hairpin structure with a large single-stranded internal bulge.
Source: RNAcentral